This 468-nucleotide ribosomal RNA is filed under the name uncultured bacterium. Its description in RNAcentral is "partial 16S ribosomal RNA". It matches the Rfam family "Bacterial small subunit ribosomal RNA", at positions 28 to 507 of the family's 1533-position model. The record is from RNAcentral.
GACGAACGCUGGCGGCGUGCUUAACACAUGCAAGUCGAACGGAAAGACCCUGCUUUUGUGGGGUGCUCGAGUGGCGAACGGGUGAGUAACACGUGAGUAACCUGCCCUUGACUUUGGGAUAACUUCAGGAAACUGGGGCUAAUACCGGAUAGGAGCUCCUGCUGCAUGGUGGGGGUUGGAAAGUUUCGGCGGUUGGGGAUGGACUCGCGGCUUAUCAGCUUGUUGGUGGGGUAGGGGCUUACCAAGGCUUUGACGGGUAGCCGGCCUGAGAGGGUGACCGGCCACAUUGGGCCUGCGAUACGGCCCAGACUCCUACGGGAGGCAACAGUGGAGAAUAUUACGCAGUGGGCGGAAGCCAGAUGCAACAACGCCGCGUGCGGGAUGACGGCCUUCGGGUUGUAAACCGCUUUCGCCUGUGACGAAGCGUGAGUGACGGUAAUGGGUAAAGAAGCACCGGCUAACUACGUG